CAGGUUGGAACCAGCUGGAACAGGUUGGAACCAGCUGGAACAAGCUGGAAUAGGUGGAUAUGGCCAGAGCUGACCCCCUUCAGGCAGGCCCAGCAGCCCCCCAGCACCGUCCCCUCAGCGCACGGACCCAGCACAGCCCAUGAGGGCCAUGGCACAGGCCAAGCUGGGAGCUCGCAUGCCACCUGUAAUAUUCACACUUUUAAACCUUGCACUCAUCUGAGCGAGUGGCACUGGGCAAUUCCACACUGGGCACUGCACACACCAUUUUCCAAGGUGCCCACAGAAGGCGGGAGGUUCCCUCUCCCUCUCUCUCUCCACACCAACAAGCAGCCCCUCGACCCAACCCUCGUUUGACAGAAGCUGCUCGUAAACUGUGGUGUUAACGCUUGCCACGUAGUCAGAGUGUUUCUCUAACUGCUCACUGGCCACCACCAUGCUCAGAGGAUGAAGAAGCCGUGGAUGUUGAUGUACCAAGCCCCGAGUGCGGCCACAGACAAUAGUGUUCUCUCACCAGGACAAUGUACACAAAAAAGGUCUAUUUCCAGCCAUGUAAAAAGCAGACAGAACUCAUUUUGAGUAAGAUCAGAACAGUAAACAUUAAGAACAACCACUCACAUUCCCUGCUGUAAGUUAGGAUUGUUAUAGAGAAGCACUCAAGAGAGAGUAGAAAAACUUCAAUGACCUUUCUUUCUUCU
This is a long non-coding RNA of Vidua chalybeata, 695 nucleotides long. RefSeq lists it as uncharacterized. NCBI's taxonomy places the organism in Eukaryota, Metazoa, Chordata, Aves, Passeriformes, Viduidae. The transcript has 3 exons. The record is from RefSeq and is a predicted model, not a curated record.